Molecule: ribosomal RNA, 454 nt
Filed under: Placobdella costata
Lineage: Eukaryota; Metazoa; Annelida; Clitellata; Rhynchobdellida; Glossiphoniidae
Description: SSU rRNA
Rfam family: Eukaryotic small subunit ribosomal RNA
Source: RNAcentral
AGCUCGUAGUUGGAUCUCGGGUUUGGGCCGGCGGUUCGCUUCGCGGCGUUACUGCCGGCGCCGACCUACCUGCCGGUUUGCGUGCGGUGCUCUUCGCCGAGUGCCGCGCGUGGCCGGAACGUUUACUUUGAAAAAAUUAGAGUGCUCAAAGCAGGCGUCUCGCCUGAAUAGUAGUGCAUGGAAUAAUGGAAUAGGACCUCGGUUCUAUUUUGUUGGUUUUCGGAGCUCGAGGUAAUGAUUAAGAGGGACGGACGGGGGCAUUCGUAUUACGGUGUUAGAGGUGAAAUUCUUGGAUCGCCGUAAGACGAACUACUGCGAAAGCAUUUGCCAAGAAUGUUUUCAUUAAUCAAGAACGAAAGUCAGAGGUUCGAAGACGAUCAGAUACCGUCGUAGUUCUGACCAUAAACGAUGUCGACCGGCGAUCCGCGGGAGUUGUCCGAAUGACCCCGCGGGC